UCCGAGUUGACCCCGGCAGUCUCCUGCGAGUCCCCGGCAUUACCCGCUGGCAACAUAGAACGAGGGUUGCGCUCGUUGCGGGACUUAACCCAACAUCUCACGACGCGAGCUGACGACAACCAUGCACCACCUGUCCACCGACCCCGAAGGGAAACCCCAUCUCUGGAGCGGUCCGGUGAAUGUCAAGCCUUGGUAAGGUUCUUCGCGUUGCAUCGAAUUAAUCCGCAUGCUCCGCCGCUUGUGCGGGCCCCCGUCAAUUCCUUUGAGUUUUAGCCUUGCGGCCGUACUCCCCAGGCGGGGUGCUUAAUGCGUUAGCUUCGGCACGGAAGGGGUUGAUGCCCCCCACACCUAGCACCCAACGUUUACGGCUGGGACUAC
RNAcentral lists this unclassified non-coding RNA (378 nucleotides) under uncultured Micrococcales bacterium. RNAcentral describes it as "contains 16S-23S intergenic spacer region". The record is from RNAcentral. Lineage: Bacteria; Bacillati; Actinomycetota; Actinomycetes; Micrococcales.